This 253-nucleotide ribosomal RNA is filed under the name uncultured bacterium. RNAcentral describes it as "partial 16S ribosomal RNA". It matches the Rfam family "Bacterial small subunit ribosomal RNA", at positions 524 to 776 of the family's 1533-position model. The record is from RNAcentral.
UACGGGGGGGGCAAGCGUUGUUCGGAAUUACUGGGCGUAAAGGGCUCGUAGGCGGCCAACUAAGUCGGACGUGAAAUCCCCAGGCUCAACCUGGGAACUGCGUCCGAUACUGGAUGGCUUGAAUCCGGGAGAGGGAUGCAGAAUUCCAGGUGUAGCGGUGAAAUGCGUAGAUAUCUGGAGGAAUACCGGUGGCGAAGGCGACUUCUUGGCCUGUUCUUGACGCUGAGGCGCGAAAGCUGGGGGAGCAAACGGG